RNAcentral lists this ribosomal RNA (27 nucleotides) under Klebsiella pneumoniae. RNAcentral describes it as "16S ribosomal RNA". The record is from RNAcentral. Lineage: Bacteria; Pseudomonadati; Pseudomonadota; Gammaproteobacteria; Enterobacterales; Enterobacteriaceae.
GGAACCUGCGGUUGGAUCACCUCCUUA